RNAcentral lists this ribosomal RNA (324 nucleotides) under uncultured eukaryote. Its description in RNAcentral is "partial 18S ribosomal RNA". It matches the Rfam family "Eukaryotic small subunit ribosomal RNA", at positions 1470 to 1796 of the family's 1831-position model. The record is from RNAcentral.
CCCUUAGAUGUCCUGGGCUGCACGCGCGCUACACUGAUGUGUCCAGUAAGCACCUAACCUCUUCCGAAAGGAACGGGUAACCUUUGCAAAGCACAUCGUGAUGGGGAUAGAUUAUUGCAAUUAUUAGUCUUGAACGAGGAAUUCCUAGUAAGCAAAAGUCAUCAGCUUGUGUUGAUUACGUCCCUGCCCUUUGUACACACCGCCCGUCGCUCCUACCGAUUGAAUGUUCCGGUGAGCUCUUCGGACUGCGCGGUCUGCAGUUUCUGCGUUCCGUGCGGAAAGUUGCGCAAACCUUAACAUUUAGAGGAAGGAGAAGUCGUAACA